AAGUCGUAACAAGGUUUCCGUAGGUGAACCUGCGGAAGGAUCAUUAGUGAUUGCCUUCGGGCUAAAAACUAUAUCCCUAACACCUGUGAACUGUUGAUUAACUUCGGUUAAUAUUUUUACAAACAUUGUGUAAUGAACGUCUAGUUAUAAUAACCAAAAAUAACUUUCAACAACGGAUCUCUUGGCUCUC
This 190-nucleotide unclassified non-coding RNA is filed under the name air metagenome. RNAcentral's name for it is "partial contains small subunit ribosomal RNA, internal transcribed spacer 1, and 5.8S ribosomal RNA". The stretch from base 1 to 46 matches the Rfam family "Eukaryotic small subunit ribosomal RNA", at positions 1786 to 1831 of the family's 1831-position model. The record is from RNAcentral.